AAAAAAGCUUACUGUAAAAUCCACAGCUCUCCCAGCACGCGAGUUCAAGGUUCUUAAAAACCUCCUCCCAAAAGUCGUCUGACAGAAAACAUGGACCGUCUUUCCAACACAUUUUCUGUGCUGGACCUCGACGCUGAAGAUGAUCAGGUGGACGCUGUCCUGACCUCCUCGGUUUCUACUUCUACUUCUUCCUUCCGAGAUAAACCAGUCUCUACCAAUAAAAAGGAACCGAGUAGGGAUAUUGUAAAUGGAUCACUCUCUAGUGUGCUGAUAGAAAAUGGGAAACAGAAUGAACAAAAUCUAGUCACAUCUGCAGUGGAGUACAAGAUGCCUCUUGUUUGGAUUGACAUGGAAAUGACUGGUUUGAAUAUUGAAGUUGAUAGAAUACUGGAGAUUGCAUGUAUAAUUACAGAUGGCAAUUUGACUAAAUCAGUGGAGGGUCCCGAUUUGGUUAUCCAUCAGAGUAAAGAGUGCUUAGAGAAGAUGGGAGAAUGGUGUCAAAGUCAUCAUGCAGCUAGCGGUCUGACAGAGAAAGUGCUCCAAAGUUCAGUGAGUGAAGGAGAGGCUGAAAAGCAGGUGAUAGAAUUUGUUAGGAGACAUGUCGGUACAUACACACCUCUUUUGGCAGGCAAUUCAGUGUAUGUGGAUUUUCUGUUUUUAAAGAAAUAUAUGCCAGAUUUGGCCAGUCUCUUCUCUCAUGUUAUUGUUGAUGUUAGCAGUGUUAAGGCUUUGUGCAUUCGCUGGUAUCCCAGAGUGACAGUGCUGGUGUAGCGUGGUCUGCUCCGAUGGCAGAAGUAGAGUCUUUGGAAGAUGGCAAGGCACUGACUGUGGAUUUCCAAUUGAGUUGCAGUAUGAGUUGGAAUUUUACCUGAUCAGAACUUCAAUUCCGGUGAACGUUUAGCGACUGGACUUGCUUUGCUGGAAAUGCCUUGGGCAAGCAGUUGUUUGACUGUGCAGUUGCAGUUGUCUGGCGAAGGGAGAGAUGGUGGGCAUUGAGGAAAAUAGCAGGGUCUUGAGAAGCUCUAUUCUGCAAAACGGUUUCACAAAUUUUUUUUUCCCAAACAGCAAAGGAAAUUUUGACUGAAUCUAAACUCAGGUUGGAUUUUUCUAAUUAUGAUACCAAAUUGAUGUAGAACAAGCUUUGACGCCAAACUGAUGUAGAAUCAAUAGGGUUGUGGGGAAUUAGGGUUGAGACAAAUUCUAUGGAUGGAGAAACACAUUGUCUAGAGAAACAAAUUCUCAAAUUUUUAUUGAUUAUCAACAAUAAUAUCAUAAUAAUCUCUCCAAAAAUAUCUAGAUUAUGUAGGUAUUUAUAGACUAAUACUAAUGCUGCUACUAGUAGAUUAGGAAACCCUAAAUAUGAAAUACAAAUCAAACUCUAAUGAGGAGAAUAUAAAAUCAAUUAAACUUCCUAAGUAUAAUAAAAUUCUACUUCCUAAUUAAUAGAAAUCUAAGAUUCUUAAUUUCACAAUGAAAAAUUAAAUUAUAAUGAUUAAGAAAUAUCAUCUUCCUAUACUGCAUCAAUCACAUUUUUGUGUAAACCAAAAAUAGGAAUAUCAUAUUCUGUACACCUCCUGCAUCUCAAGAAGCAAUUAGCAUCCAAAUGGAAUAAAGAAGUUAAAAUGUUUUGGGAAUCCUUGAUGUGUGAAAGAAGAAAUGUUACCUAAUAGGAGAGUCAUUGGUGGUCGAUCUAUAAAUUAGUUAUGCAUGCUUUUUUACUUUAUUAAUUUCACUACUUCUAGCUCUAGCAUAAUAAUUUUUAGUAUAAGGUAAUAUUAUGCUCAUGGUUCCUGUUUUCCGAGGAAAACUUCUUUUUUUAAACAUCAAAAGACAUUUUAUUCCUGUUUGGUUGUUGUUUUGGAAAGAAAAUUCUCUAUAUAAGAUGCGCUAAAAACAUGAAAAAUUUGUAUCUUCAGUUUCCAAAAUUGUUCCUACAAUGAACCAUUAAAAGAUUUCCUGCUUUUUUUUUUAAGACCUUCAGAAAGCAGAUAACAUAAAACAAAGCCAAUUAGUUCUUCCAGGAAUUUCAGGAAGACCAUUGGAAAUGACAGAAUGAAUUUCUUUUAAAAAGUCAGAGGCCAAAAUUCUUUGAUUUUGCAUCAUCUCCAUGAAUAUCAAAUUGGUCAAAUACAUACUUGCAUCCUUCUUGUAUUUUAUUAAUUACCUGUAACUUGUAAAAAUUAUAACAAUUAAAAACAAAUUAGCCAUGUCCUCAAUGACUUGGCACAAAUGGUCAAAAAUGGUCUCACUUAUCGCUGGCGGUGCUCUAAAUUUUGCUUUCCAUGCUUUAAAAUUUCAAAAAAUUGAUGAAGUUACGGUCAACAUAAUUAGUAAAAUUUAGAAUACAAUUUGUAAUAAGUGGGACCAUUACUAGCUUGUUUUGACAAAUCAUCGAUGAUAUGACUAAUUAGUAUUUGGUUAUGAUUUAUAUAAAUCCAGGUGUUCAAUAGGUUAUGAUUUUAGUUCAGAUGUUCAAUGGGUUAAAAUCUCAAAUAGUACAGGUGUCAUAUAUUUGGCCAUAUCAAAUUAUUAAUUGUGCAUGUAUGCAUGUCAGCAUCUGUGCUCAUAUAUGACUAGCUGAGAAAAGCUUGAGCUCCUUAAAUACUUCUAUGCCUGGUUCAUUCACUAAAAUCAGUUUGUUUGUGAAUGAUCAUUUCACUUGCAGAUCAGAAGAAAGCCCCUUCAAAGGAAAACAAACAUAGAGCCAUGGAUGAUAUUAGAGAGAGCAUUAGAGAGCUGAAAUACUACAAGGAGAAUAUAUUCAAGGCAAAGUCGAAGAAGUGAUCAGACUAGCUUUAGUUUGUACGUAUCUCUGUAGGGAUAUAUCAUCUAUAUAGCAAUUGCCACCCUGUCGCUAGCUUUUAUGAGGAUGGGUUCAUUUCUUGGUCAAGGGAAGAUAUGAUUUUGGUUGAAAUAUUCUCUUUUAAUUAUUAACAGCGUCAAAUUUAAAUUAGAUGUCUGAUAUUUAGUUCCAAACAAGUUAAUUUUGCGCAUUUGUGCAUAUAUUUUAAUUUAUAAACAAAAUUAAGGGUGUGGGGGGAGUGGAGAAUUUUGGGUUUAAUUUUAUCAAUCCCCUGAGAUAGUGUGAAUUCUGUUUCGUAAAGGGUAUCUAUUUCCCGAGUUCUUCAUUUUGGAAUGGUUGAUUGGCCGGAAGGGAAGUGCUUAAGGAAUAAGAUCUAAUAUCAGAGACGGAACCAAUACUCUGUUAUGGGAGGAACCUUAGGUUCCAAAUUCUUAAAGCCUCAUGGUAGAAUGCCCCUUAAAUUGUCCUAUGAAUCUUAACCUCGUUUAAGAACUUAUUGUUCAUGAAUGUUUGGUCUGGACAGAAGAUUUGGUCAAGAGCCGUUUCAAUGAAGAUACGGCUCAAAUUAUUUUGUCCAUCCCGGUGGCCCCUGGGGCGGUGUCAAGAUAAAAUUAUUUGGCCUCAUCACAGGUUGGGUCAAUAAACGGUGAGAUCGAGCUACAGAACCCUUGUUAAAAAUGAUCGAAGGCAGCAAAUGGAUCGUCCUAGGCAGUCUCUCUCCGUUCCCCAACAUGUGUGGAAGAGAUCUUGGAAGCUUUCUACUUGUUUUGAACUUUAAUGCUAUUUUUCGUAUGUUGUAAUGAAAGAUAUAUUGUAAUCGCAAUUAAUCAUACUUAAAGUAACGUAAUGGUCAUUAUAUAUAAAAAUAAGUGUAAUUAUGAUUUUAUUUUGAUUUUUUUAUUUAUUGUUAAUAUUAUCAUUACAAUCACUAGUUGGCAACCAUUGCUACUAUAAUUACUAUUUCUAUUCU
RNAcentral lists this unclassified non-coding RNA (3773 nucleotides) under Hevea brasiliensis (rubber tree). The record is from RNAcentral. Lineage: Eukaryota; Viridiplantae; Streptophyta; Magnoliopsida; Malpighiales; Euphorbiaceae.